GAUUAGAUACCCUAUUAUUUUUGGAUGUUAAUGUUUUGCCUGAGUAGUAUUAGUUAUGUUCUUGAAACUUAAAGAAUUUGGCGGUAUCUUAUUCCGUUCAGAGGAACCUGUCUCGUUAUCGAUAGUCCGCGUUGGACCUUACUUAGUUGUUUAUUGGUUUGUAUACCGCCGUUUAUUGAUUAUCUUUUUAGAGUUGUUUAAUUUUCUUGUUCCUUUAUUUGGUUUAAUUUCAGGUCAAGGUGCAGCUUUCUCUAAGUGUAUUGGUGGGUUACAAUGUUAUUUGUUGUUUUUGGAUUGUUGGUUUUAAUUACUGGCAUGAAAUUGGAUUUGAUUGUAAUUUUUUGAAGAUUGUUUUUGUGAUAAUUGGUUCUGAGAUAUGUACACAUCGCCCGUCGCUCUCGUUUUAUUUGUUAAUGAGAUAAGUCG
RNAcentral lists this ribosomal RNA (426 nucleotides) under Reticulitermes flaviceps. RNAcentral describes it as "partial 12S ribosomal RNA". Lineage: Eukaryota; Metazoa; Arthropoda; Insecta; Blattodea; Rhinotermitidae. The record is from RNAcentral.